UACGGAGGGUGCAAGCGUUAUCCGGAUUCACUGGGUUUAAAGGGUGUGUAGGCGGGCUAUUAAGUCAGUGGUGAAAUCUCCGGGCUCAACCCGGAAACUGCCAUUGAUACUAUUAGUCUUGAAUAUCGUUGAGGUAGGCGGAAUAUAUCAUGUAGCGGUGAAAUGCUUAGAUAUGAUAUAGAACACCGAUUGCGAAGGCAGCUUGCUAAACGAUGAUUGACGCUGAGGCACGAAAGCGUGGGGAUCAAACAGG
This 253-nucleotide ribosomal RNA is filed under the name uncultured bacterium. RNAcentral's name for it is "partial 16S ribosomal RNA". It matches the Rfam family "Bacterial small subunit ribosomal RNA", at positions 524 to 776 of the family's 1533-position model. The record is from RNAcentral.